CCCGAACCUCGCAUGGGCUCUAAUGAUGGUCGCGUCCUCCUCCGGCGUAAAGGCGCGGUGCUCCACCUGCGGAGAGAGCUGGUUACACCAACGCAGCCGGCAAGACUUGCCGGACCGCCCAGGGAUGGAUUUGCUGAUCAAAGACCAGUUCCUAGGGCCGUGCUUCUGCACCAGUCUCUGCAACGCUUCGUCUUCCUCGGGGCUCCAAGGACCCUUGAUCCGAUCUAAAUCUUUCUUGGAAGACGCCAUGGAUUGAGAAGCCUAAAACGCCUACACGAAUUUGAGCCCUUAACUCUUAACAAAGAG
Molecule: long non-coding RNA, 306 nt
Filed under: Vitis vinifera (wine grape)
Lineage: Eukaryota; Viridiplantae; Streptophyta; Magnoliopsida; Vitales; Vitaceae
Description: long non-coding RNA (VVIN_LNC006011)
Source: RNAcentral